GGGUAUAGCUCAGUGGUAGAGCACGUGCUUAGCAUGCACAAGGUCCUGGGUUCAGUUCCCAGUGCCUCCA
RNAcentral lists this transfer RNA (70 nucleotides) under Vicugna pacos (alpaca). It matches the Rfam family "tRNA". From Rfam's summary of the family: Transfer RNA (tRNA) molecules are approximately 80 nucleotides in length. Lineage: Eukaryota; Metazoa; Chordata; Mammalia; Artiodactyla; Camelidae. The record is from Rfam by way of RNAcentral.